UAGGGAAUCUUCGGCAAUGGGGGCAACCCUGACCGAGCAACGCCGCGUGAGUGAAGAAGGUUUUCGGAUCGUAAAGCUCUGUUGUAAGAGAAGAACGUGUGUGAGAGUGGAAAGUUCACACAGUGACGGUAACUUACCAGAAAGGGACGGCUAACUACGUGCCAGCAGCCGCGGUAAUACGUAGGUCCCGAGCGUUGUCCGGAUUUAUUGGGCGUAAAGCGAGCGCAGGCGGUUUAAUAAGUCUGAAGUUAAAGGCAGUGGCUUAACCAUUGUUCGCUUUGGAAACUGUUAAACUUGCGUGCAGAAGGGGAGAGUGGAAUUCCAUGUGUAGCGGUGAAAUGCGUAGAUAUAUGGAGGAACACCGGUGGCGAAAGCGGCUCUCUGGUCUGUAACUGACGCUGAGGCUCGAAAGCGUGGGGAGCAAACAGG
RNAcentral lists this ribosomal RNA (429 nucleotides) under bacterium. Its description in RNAcentral is "partial 16S ribosomal RNA". It matches the Rfam family "Bacterial small subunit ribosomal RNA", at positions 355 to 776 of the family's 1533-position model. The record is from RNAcentral.